This 73-nucleotide transfer RNA is filed under the name Haemaphysalis bancrofti. RNAcentral describes it as "tRNA-Ser". The record is from RNAcentral. Lineage: Eukaryota; Metazoa; Arthropoda; Arachnida; Ixodida; Ixodidae.
AAAUUAUUAGUUAUUUAAAGAUUAAUUAAUUUAGGCUUCUAACCUAAAAUAAAUGAAAUUUUCAUUUAAUCUU